RNAcentral lists this long non-coding RNA (1645 nucleotides) under Fukomys damarensis (Damara mole-rat). RNAcentral's name for it is "lncRNA (ENSFDAG00000030641.1)". Lineage: Eukaryota; Metazoa; Chordata; Mammalia; Rodentia; Bathyergidae. The record is from RNAcentral.
UACCGCUCUCCCCGGGCUCUCUCUUCUCCCCCGACCCCGCUAGGAGCCACCCCGACCAAAGUAAGGGUGGAUUGGGGGUGGAGCCCCGCCUUCACCGCGGCCCUUGGCCCAGCCGCCCCGUCCCCCUCCAACCUGGAGCUGAGAGCUGGGAGCUGAGGACCAGAGACCCAGAGGUGACAGAAGCUCACGCAAGCACAACGGGAAGGAAGAGGUGCCCCUCUCACCUGCAGGUAGAGGCACUGAGCAACGGUAACUAUCGUGGUGACAAUCUGGAAGCUGCCUGUGGAGUUUCCAACUAUGAGGGCAUGGCCAGGAAGACAACGCAACACAAACACGAAGGAACCUCUGCGGGCAGGAGCGUGGCUGUGACAUGGACUCUGCCAGCACGGGCAAGAGAAGUGAGUGCUGUGAGCUGAAUGCCUGUCGCUCCCCAGAGUUCAUACCACCAACGUGAAGGUGCCCUAGGGUGAAGCCUUUGGUCAUAAGGACAGGACCCUCAUGAAAGAGCUCCCAAAGGGACCCCUCGCUCGUGAGAGAAUACCACAGGAAGGCACUGUCUAAUAAACCAGGAUGAAGGCUCUCACCAGACUGAGUUUGACAGUGCUUCCAUCUUGGAUUUCUAAAAGCAUGAACCAUGAGAAAUAAGCAUCUAUUGUUUGUAAGCCACCCAGCCACUGGUAUUGUGUUACAGCAGUCUGAACACGCGCAAACACGAAGAUCCAAACUACAACAAAGCGGGACACGAAUAGGAUGCAGUCGCACAACGAUCAGAACCCCAUACCUAUGCCUGUGUGGACAAGGAUGGCAGGAACUCAGCAGAUGCUACCACCAGUGGCUCUAGUCCACCCGCUUAUCGAUGCCCUCCGUAUGAAGGCCUGAAGAGAAACACAGCCUGUCUGCGGCAGCCCAGGCUGGACCCCACGGAGGCACUUUCCCAGAGGGUUAUCGGGAGGUAACCACACAGGGAGAGGGGUUUCGACCCCUGGGGGCUGCUCUGUCAGCGGUGUCAUGUUGAAUGAUCUCACUGAACUAAAUCUGUGUUCUCACUUGUAAAACAGAAACACCACAGCUAGGCAUGGUUGUGCACGCCUAUGAUCCCAGCACUCUGGAAAGCUGAGGUAGGAGGAUCCUAAGUCUGAGCCCAACCUGGGCAGCUUCGUGACUUAAGAAGACCCUGUCUCAAAAUACAAAAAAAUAAAGGGACUGAUGUAGUGCAGUAUGAAGGCCUUUCGUUCAAUCCCCAGUACAGUACUGGGGGGAAAAGAGGAACACUAAAACCUACUUUUGAUAUCAGUGUUCUAUUUGUUAGUAGGAAUUCAAUGAGACAAAAGCCAAAACACUCUAAUGUAUGGGGUAUGUUACAUGCUAGCUACUAUGACUGUUUCCUGACAGCUGUGGCACCAUGAAUCAGUUCACCUCUGGUUCUGGGAAUGGGGGGCCGUGACUAGCCUUCCUCUGCGGAGGACUGUGGCCAUCUCUGACUACACCUCCACGGACCGUGAAGGCAGCCCAGGCCGAGCCAAGGCUCUGCGCAGGGCUGCCUGACACUGCAGACCCCCCCACCCGGCCACUGGCUUUCUCGGCCUCAAGCCCGUUUCUUCUGUCCCACCUUUGUUCUAGACACAGGAAGCACCACAGAUCCCAC